RNAcentral lists this ribosomal RNA (368 nucleotides) under uncultured organism. RNAcentral describes it as "bacterial SSU rRNA". It matches the Rfam family "Bacterial small subunit ribosomal RNA", at positions 526 to 896 of the family's 1533-position model. The record is from RNAcentral.
CGUAGGUGGCAAGCGUUGUCCGGAUUUAUUGGGUUUAAAGGGAGCGUAGGUGGACUGAUAAGUCAGUGGUGAAAUCUUCGAGCUUAACUCGGAAAUUGCCAUUGAUACUGUUGGUCUUGAGUACAGUUGCUGUGGGCGGAAUAUGACAUGUAGUGGUGAAAUACAUAGAGAUGUCAUAGAACACCGAUUGCGAAGGCAGCUCACAAAGCUGUAACUGACACUGAGGCUCGAAAGUGCGGGGAUCAAACAGGAUUAGAUACCCUGGUAGUCCGCACCGUAAACGAUGAUUACUCGCUGCUAGAUGGCAACAUUUAGUGGCUUAGCGAAAGCGAUAAGUAAUCCACCUGGGGAGUACGCCGGCAACGGUG